AGAGUUUGAUCAUGGCUCAGAUUGAACGCUGGCGGCAUGCCUUACACAUGCAAGUCGAACGGCAGCACGGGGGCAACCCUGGUGGCGAGUGGCGAACGGGUGAGUAAUACAUCGGAACGUGUCUUGGAGUGGGGGAUAGCCCGGCGAAAGCCGGAUUAAUACCGCAUACGAUCUCUGGAUGAAAGCGGGGGACCGAAAGGCCUCGCGCUCAAGGGGCGGCCGAUGGCAGAUUAGCUAGUUGGUGGGGUAAAGGCCUACCAAGGCGACGAUCUGUAGCUGGUCUGAGAGGACGACCAGCCACACUGGGACUGAGACACGGCCCAGACUCCUACGGGAGGCAGCAGUGGGGAAUUUUGGACAAUGGGGGCAACCCUGAUCCAGCAAUGCCGCGUGUGUGAAGAAGGCCUUCGGGUUGUAAAGCACUUUUGUCCGGAAAGAAAACCACUUCUCUAAUACAGAGGUGGGAUGACGGUACCGGAAGAAUAAGCACCGGCUAACUACGUGCCAGCAGCCGCGGUA
Molecule: ribosomal RNA, 519 nt
Filed under: uncultured Pseudomonadota bacterium
Lineage: Bacteria; Pseudomonadati; Pseudomonadota
Description: bacterial SSU rRNA
Rfam family: Bacterial small subunit ribosomal RNA
Source: RNAcentral